Long non-coding RNA from Ictalurus punctatus (channel catfish), 1794 nucleotides. The record is from Ensembl. NCBI's taxonomy places the organism in Eukaryota, Metazoa, Chordata, Actinopteri, Siluriformes, Ictaluridae.
UUUUUUUUUUUUUUUUUUUGUGUACCUAUUAGUUUUGUCUGUACCAACCCAUGUUAUUUUCUUCCAGAUUUACUUGGUUUAAUUUCCCAAAGUAUAAACUAACUAGUAGUCUAAUUUAAACUACCACAACUCUGAGCAGGCAGUUACUAAUGAUGGAUGAAUGAACAUUGUAAAUGCACUUUGUUACUGUUCAUGUUAAUGAGCAUGGUCUUUAUUUGUCCCACAGGCUUUAUAUCUGUAUUUAUGUCCGUUUAACAUUAUCUGUCCUCUCCAAAUACUGUAUUCAUAUUUGAUUAUAUACCGAAUAAGAAUUUUCAAAAUAUCUCACACUUUAUGUAGAGCUGUCAAGUGCUGCUUUAUACAUUCUUAUAAAUAAGAAAAAUAAUAAAUAUUAUAAAAUAUUUGAGUUAUAGCAAAAAAAAAAAUAACGCUACAAUACAUUAAAAGUUUAAUACAUCUUGAGUUCAAGAAAAUACAAAAUUGGAAAAAGUAUAGUGCUCAAUUUAUCUGUUAAGCAUAAUAUGCAAGCUAAGUUUCCUGGACAUGUUAUGUACACUACAUUGUACUGUAUUAACAAUUAAUAACGUAAAGUGCAAUUUUCAUUAAUGAUUAUAAUAAUAUGUACAGUAUAAUGCCUUUAAAAUGUUUCAUAACAUAGAUAUGGUGGAUAUAGAUAUGGAUAUAAAUAUGGCCUUCAUAGAAAGUGUUACUGAUAUGUACUCAUUACUUAAAAUAUUAGAGACUUGGCAUAAGUUAUUGGACAGGUCUCCUAUUUUUAUUUUUAUUUUUAAAUACUUGAAGUGUGCUGUGUUAGUUUUUUUCAAUGAUCCAAAAAAGUGUAUGGUAAAGACCUGGAUGAAGGGAUGCUCGGUUGGACUUGAUUUGGUUAGCUUUGCUCUAUAAGGAGGUGUGUUCAAGUCACGUGAAUGUAACUAUUGUCAUAUUAUUGUUUUACUAUGAGCAAAAGAUCUGACAUUGCAAAGAACUUGCACACGGGCUGUCAUCCCUGACUCGGAUUAUGCAUAGUCUUGGACUACGAAGGAUUUCCGAUGAAGUUGCAUCUUUUACUGUGCAAGUUAGUUCAAGACAAGGCUUAAUCCUUGUCUUAAAGGAUGCCCGCACAGAGUUUUAAGAAUCAUCUUGCAAAAGAAAAAAAAAAACUGUGGAUAUUUAUUUUCAGCGCUUUCAUGUUAUACAAAAUGCUUUGGCUUUAUUUAAGGAAGAAAAUAUAAUUGCAGAGAGAUCUAUUAUUAAGUGUUGUACUAAAUGCAAAUUAGUAUGCGAAGUAUGUGUUGGAAAAGAUCAGAGAGCUGUGAGCGUGUGUUGUGUAUGCGUGUGUGUGUCUGUGUAAUGUCAGAAUUAGACUUUAGCUUUACAUUUCCUAGUUUACAGACAUUAAUUUAAAGCAAAUGUCACUUAAGUCAAUGAUUCUCAUUAUAUGUAGUUCAAGGUAUGUGAUUACUGAAUAAUCUUUUAUCAUUGCCUCAUUAUGAUUGUGUCUUUGUUCCGUGUUCAUCAUUAUAAAGAAAGUAAGUGGAUGUUAACACUGUUACAACAGACAAAAUGUAUGAAGGAGAAUAGAAUAUCUGCAGUGUACUAUAUGCCUCUUAUUUGAAAGUUGUAUAUAUUCCUUUGAAAUAGCUUCUUUUGCUGCUAUUUAAAAAAAAAAUCUGAUUAUUUUUGUUAGUUUCAUUUUCUAAGAAAUGUACAUAACAUCUGUAAAUAUGCACAAGCCUUCAAAUGUAGACUUAUUCAGGAACACUGUAUUGAACGCACCUUUAAAGAAUCACUGAA